GACGAACGCUGGCGGCAGGCUUAAUACAUGCAAGUCGAGGGGCAGCAGGUCUGUAGCAAUACAGAUGUUGGCGACCGGCAAACGGGUGCGGAACACGUACAGAACCUUCCUUCGAGCGGGGAAUAGCCCAGAGAAAUUUGGAUUAAUACCCCAUAGUAUAUUAGAGUGGCAUCACUUUAAUAUUAAAGAUUUAUCACUUGAAGAUGGCUGUGCGGCUGAUUAGGAGUUGGCGGGGUAACGGCCCACCAAGCCAGCGACU
Molecule: ribosomal RNA, 259 nt
Filed under: uncultured bacterium
Lineage: Bacteria
Description: partial 16S ribosomal RNA
Rfam family: Bacterial small subunit ribosomal RNA
Source: RNAcentral